GCUCAGUGAGGCCUUCGGACUGGCUCGAGGAGGUUGGCAACGACCACCUCAAGCCGGAAAGUUCGUCAAACUCGGUCAUUUAGAGGAAGUAAAAGUCGUAACAAGGUCUCCGUAGGUGAACCUGCGGAGGGAUCAUUACACAAAUAUGAAGGCGGGCUGGAACCUCUCGGGGUUACAGCCUUGCUGAAUUAUUCACCCUUGUCUUUUGCGUACUUCUUGUUUCCUUGGUGGGUUCGCCCACCACUAGGACAAACAUAAACCUUUUGUAAUUGCAAUCAGCGUCAGUAACAAAUUAAUAAUUACAACUUUCAACAACGGAUCUCUUGGUUCUGGCAUCGAUGAAGAACGCAGCGAAAUGCGAUAAGUAGUGUGAAUUGCAGAAUUCAGUGAAUCAUCGAAUCUUUGAACGCACAUUGCGCCCUUUGGUAUUCCAAAGGGCAUGCCUGUUCGAGCGUCAUUUGUACCCUCAAGCUUUGCUUGGUGUUGGGCGUCUUGUCUCUAGCUUUGCUGGAGACUCGCCUUAAAGUAAUUGGCAGCCGGCCUACUGGUUUCGGAGCGCAGCACAAGUCGCACUCUCUAUCAGCAAAGGUCUAGCAUCCAUUAAGCCUUUUUUUCAACUU
This 620-nucleotide ribosomal RNA is filed under the name Alternaria alternata. RNAcentral describes it as "eukaryotic LSU rRNA". The stretch from base 304 to 457 matches the Rfam family "5.8S ribosomal RNA". Lineage: Eukaryota; Fungi; Ascomycota; Dothideomycetes; Pleosporales; Pleosporaceae. The record is from RNAcentral.